UACGUAGGGUGCAAGCGUUAAUCGGAAUUACUGGGCGUAAAGCGUGCGCAGGCGGUGAUGUAAGACAGAUGUGAAAUCCCCGGGCUCAGCCUGGGAACUGCAUUUGUGACUGCAUCGCUGGAGUACGGCAGAGGGGGAUGGAAUUCCGCGUGUAGCAGUGAAAUGCGUAGAUAUGCGGAGGAACACCGAUGGCGAAGGCAAUCCCCUGGGCCUGUACUGACGCUCAUGCACGAAAGCGUGGGGAACAAACAGG
This 253-nucleotide ribosomal RNA is filed under the name uncultured bacterium. RNAcentral describes it as "partial 16S ribosomal RNA". It matches the Rfam family "Bacterial small subunit ribosomal RNA", at positions 524 to 776 of the family's 1533-position model. The record is from RNAcentral.